Molecule: unclassified non-coding RNA, 216 nt
Filed under: Hevea brasiliensis (rubber tree)
Lineage: Eukaryota; Viridiplantae; Streptophyta; Magnoliopsida; Malpighiales; Euphorbiaceae
Source: RNAcentral
CAAAACCACAGAGGAAAGAUUCUCACAAAUCACAACUUUUCUUUUUCUUUUACCCACUUCAGAAGUUGCAGGUCUUAUUUGCCUUCUGUGGCCAACUGUUGACCUGUGAUUAAGGAACAAUACAUGCAUGUAUCAGGAUCUAUAUCAAUUAAUGAAUGCUUCUAUAAAUUGAUCCCUUCUGCUUCAAAAGAUUCAUAACAGAAGACCAGAUUUCAA